Molecule: RNA transcript, 2413 nt
Organism: Culex quinquefasciatus (southern house mosquito)
Lineage: Eukaryota; Metazoa; Arthropoda; Insecta; Diptera; Culicidae
Gene: Eaat1
Gene name: excitatory amino acid transporter 3
Exons: 12
Source: RefSeq, a predicted model, not a curated record
UUGACCGACGGCGCGCGCGAAUCUUGCUCUAGCGGCCUGUAGUCCAUUGAAAACCUUUUAGUUUAUAUUUAAUCGCUGUCGUGGCAAGAGUGAGUCGUCCGGGAGUUUGCUGGAUCGCCGCCGCCGUCAACAGGGAGAGAGUGCGCGUCUAUAGAGUGGGAGAAAGUGUGCUAAUGUAAUCACCAAAGUAUUCAAAUCAGUGAAGAAAAGAGGAAGAUUAACCCAGAUUCGCCGUACUACUACCCGGUGGGCAACGAAGAAUCAGCAACUUCAUCUCGACGAAGCAGGCAGGGAGUUGGUCGCGAUCGCAGUGAUCUGUGACCUGUAACGAGCAUCAGUAGCAGCGAGUUGUUCUAGCAAGGCCAACUGCGAUCCGCCGUCGAUUAAUUCAUAACCCACCGAGCCGCCGCCGAGUACAUUAUGUCGAACACGUUGUCGAACGGCGGCUCGAGACCGACGUCACGAUGGAAGCGUUUUCUCAAGUCCAACUUGCUCACCUUCCUCACGGUGAUCGGUGUGUUCGGCGGCACCACGUUAGGCUUAAUGCUCAAAAACUCCUCCGAUCCAUGGACGCAGCGCGAAGUGAUGUACAUCCAGUACCCGGGCGAUCUGUUCCUGCGGAUGCUCAAAUGUCUGAUCGUGCCACUGCUGGUGUCGUCCAUAACCAGUGCCAUCGGAUCGCUCGAUCUCAGCAUGUCGAAGAAGAUCGCGUUCCGGGCGAUCAUCUACUACUUUACCACUACGAUCUGUGCCGUCGUGCUGGGCAUCAUUCUGGUCAGUACGAUACGGCCCGGUUCCGGUAAAGAAAUGGGCAGCAUGAAGGGCAAGGCCACGACCCGGGUGGUCCUCACCGCAGAUACGCUUCUAGAUUUAAUCCGAAACUUGUUCCCACCAAAUAUCGUCCAAGCAACCAUGUUCCAGUAUCGCACAAUUCUAGUCGCACCGGAGAAUACAACUGAUGUCCCCCUAACGAGCUACAAGAUCACCAAUGAGUUCACCGAGGGCACCAACGUGCUCGGCCUGGUCAUGUUCUCGAUCGUGCUGGGCGCCUGCAUCGGCAAGAUGCGUGAAGCCGGCAAACCCCUGCAGCGCCUGUUCGAAACCCUGAGCGAAGCGAUGAUGAUCAUCACCUCGUGGGUCAUCUGGAUCUCGCCGAUCGGUGUGUUCUUCCUGGUGGCCGCCAAACUGCUCGAGAUGGCCUCGUUCAUGGAGGUGCUGGGCCAGCUCGGCUGGUACUUUGUCACUGUGAUGAUCGGGCUGAUUCUGCACGGAUUUGGUACAAUUUCGGUGAUCUUCUUCCUGACCACGCGGAAGCUCUCGUUCCCGUACAUCGCCAAGAUGAGUCAGGUGUUGGCGACGGCGUUCGGAACCGGUUCCAGCUCGGCCACGAUGCCAAUCACGAUCCGCUGUCUGGACAGCAUGGGCAUUGAUCCUCGCGUGACCCGAUUCGUGAUUCCCGUGGGAGCGACCAUCAACAUGGACGGGACGGCACUGUACGAGGCCGUGGCCGCGCUGUUCAUUGCCCAGCUGCGGCAGAUUCCGCUGUCCUUUGGUCACAUCGUCGCCGUGAGUGUAACUGCCACUGCCGCCUCGAUCGGUGCCGCCGGCAUUCCGCAGGCCGGUUUGAUUACCAUGGUCAUGGUGCUGGACACCGUCGGGCUGCCCGCCGAGGACGUCACGAUCAUCAUCGCCGUCGACUGGCUGCUGGAUCGAUUCCGUACCACGAUCAACGUGAUGUGCGACGCCCUGGGCACGAUUCUGGUGAAUGCCCUGUCGAAGAACGACCUGGCGAAUGCGCCCCAUGAAGUUAAUGUGCAUUAGAUGGAAAACGUAUUUUUGAAAAUUAUAUACACUUUUGUUAGAGCAAAAAUAGCUCGACGCCGAACCCCACGAACUGGUCGAACUGCGGCAAGACUGCAAUGAGAAAGAGUAAAACAAACGCAAGACCAACCAACCACCCGAACCCGAACCAAUCUACGUAAAUUGCACCACAAGACCUCCUCGGAUCCUCACCGCGUCGAUGUUCUUCCCGAAAGAAAAAAAAAAAUCAAAAAGUAGAAAGCCCCAUCCUCAACCACGUGUGCCAAAUGUGUUUGCGUGUGCGUGUGAACCACCCUAAUGUCCCAACACUAGAAAAGAGAGAGUCCAUUUUUGAGUGUGAAUUUCAACAAACGAAAAAAAAAACAACCAACCAAUAGAGAUAUUUCGCAGCGGAGCCGUUUGUGAACGGACCGAAUCGGUGGUGACUGGCCAUUUUCCCCCAAGGGGACACCGCUAGUAUAAAAGUCGCCCAAAAUCGCCCCAUUGUUCGUCGUCAUUUCAUUGUUCAUUGUUAGAUGUUAGCAAACGCAUUCGUUAAAACACGUGUGUAAUGGUUAGGUGUAGAGACAGAAGGAUGGUAGCGAAAAAAAAA